This 1129-nucleotide long non-coding RNA is filed under the name Cyanistes caeruleus (blue tit). Its description in RNAcentral is "lncRNA (ENSCCEG00000020641.1)". Lineage: Eukaryota; Metazoa; Chordata; Aves; Passeriformes; Paridae. The record is from RNAcentral.
AUGCUGCUGCUUUCAGUACUAUGGAGGAAAUAUAUAGUAUAUAAUAAAUGUGCAUUGACAGCAGAAGCACAGAUGUGUCUCACAGUGGGUGCUGAGAGUGAAAUUGAACCAGCCAUUAUAUUCUGGUGAGGAGGAGUACUGUAAAUCUUCUGUCGAUCUUUACAAGCUUGUACCAUCCACUCCUAGUGUGUGGAUGCCUUGUGCUGGUGAGAAGUUUGGGAAGCAGAUGGAAUGCAGCCCUCAUGACACUGUGGUGCAGCCAGACCAGUCGGUAAAAUUGCUGAGUGUUGGAUGAGACUGGCGUGUGGAUGAGAGUGAGCUGAAUUAAAGCUGAGGAAGCUGAACUCGGAGGAGAUGCUAGCUGGCAGCGUGAAUUGAAGAGGAUCUGCUAGGUGUAACACCAGAUGCUGUGGCCAAGUGCUGAGUGCCCUCUGUCAAGUGUGGUCUGAAUCCGGGCCUGUGAUGACUCCUACCUGCUACUGGACAGCAGUGGCCACCAGAAUUCCUGUUUGGCCAGUUGGCCUGUGUUACUGUACCUUGGCAGAGCUCUGAACAAGCUCAUACAGUUCAUCUUUUAAUGUUUGUUUUUCCAUGAGUUCUUUAGGGUUAAUCUAAUUAGUGUAAUUACUUCUCUUCAAAUCGGCAGGGUCUGCAGCCUGAGUAUUCAUACUGUAGGAGAUAAUGGAUUAUGAAUCACUAAAUUAUCUAAAUACCUAUGAAGAAGCUAUAGACAAGAAUGAAUGCUGUUUGUUUUUGAUUCUCUUCAGGAGCUAUUCAAGUUGUCAUUAGUUUUUCUCCCAAGUAUUCACUGUACUGGAUUUGUUCAGUCUUUCUCCUGAGACUCUCACCACGAAGUGUAUAACCUAGCAAUAUAUGUGCUAUGUUUCAUGAUGGCUUUGUCACAAAGAAACAAUUCACACGAGUUCAUGACAGUCAGAAUGUGUUGGAUGCUGCCUUUCAUUGGGGAAAAAAUGACAGCAUGCCUGUAUGUUCCAUCUAAAGAAUGUGUUUAAAAAUAGUAAGUGGUUCUAGAGAAUUUCCAGGCUCACAGAUAGCAGACAUGCUACAGUUUAUCUCAGUUUCUAGAGGAGCACCAUCUGAGUGCUGAACUGAACUUUGGUCAAGAUAA